CGGAUUGCACCCGACAAAACAUUAGAGAAGAAGAAGAAGCUUACGUCAUUCGACGCGACACUUUCCACGGUCGGAGCUGAUCCGGAUCACAUACACAGGAGUCACUCAUUGAAGAUGAAUCACAGCUGGACAGGGAUCUUCGAAUAAUUGAGAGACACCAUGGUGUAAAACGAAGGCGGCUCCCUUCGGAUGACAUUUUCCAGAGAACACUGAGAGAUGUUGACCAGGAACUUAGAGGUCAGCUGAUACGACGAGCACAAAAUGAAGCAAGGGAGAGGGCCACUCUUCUCAACCUGAAAAGAAGAUGUAAUGGUAACACUACUUCUUCUCUUGACUGUAUGGUCAUUAGCAAAAUUGAAGCUCAAAGGUCUUGUGGUAAACCUAAAUUUAAUCUUUAUGUUAUCCCUGCACCAUGCAUAUGUUCACUCUAGGUACUUAAGCGUCUUUAUGCAGUGUAAGAAGUGACUGGUUUAUUCCAACUUGUCCUUUGUCAUGGAUGGACAGGGAGUUGUUAUAAGGCUGUCCAAGCAAGUGAAUGCCUGUAACAGGAAACUGAAGAAGAUUGUUACAGAGUACAAUAAUCUGCAGUGGCCUCCACAAACUGGCAUCUUUCCAUCACAUUUAGAAUUUUGAGAAUUGUGUGAUGCCUCCUCCCAGCUGUACACAUUGUUUGAUGAACAAAUUGAAGAUCAUGGUGUUGUUCCAAAGAACCUAAAAAGUCGAGCAAUAGAAGCCCUGCAUUUGAAGACUAGAGCAACUGAAGAAAAGCUUCUACUUAAGAGAGAGAUGAACACUGUCAUUCUUCACCUUCAUCAACAACAUGGACAUUUAAGUUCAGCUAUAAAUGAUACUGCAGAUCCUGGUUCAAAAGCUGUACUUCAUCAAAACAUUAUCAUGUUAGAAAAGAAAAUGUACAGUGCAAUGAACAUGUUCAAGAGGUUUAUCGAAGUUGGUGCCCCUCCUCCAAAUCAUCACCUACCAGAGUUUAACUCUUA
Gambusia affinis (western mosquitofish) is the source of this 995-nucleotide long non-coding RNA. RefSeq lists it as uncharacterized. The transcript has 5 exons. NCBI's taxonomy places the organism in Eukaryota, Metazoa, Chordata, Actinopteri, Cyprinodontiformes, Poeciliidae. The record is from RefSeq and is a predicted model, not a curated record.